Molecule: ribosomal RNA, 767 nt
Filed under: uncultured Granulicatella sp.
Lineage: Bacteria; Bacillati; Bacillota; Bacilli; Lactobacillales; Carnobacteriaceae
Description: bacterial SSU rRNA
Rfam family: Bacterial small subunit ribosomal RNA
Source: RNAcentral
GACGAACGCUGGCGGCGUGCCUAAUACAUGCAAGUCGAACGAGAGCGACCGGUGCCUGCACUGGUCAAUCUAGUGGCGAACGGGUGAGUAACACGUGGGUAACCUGCCCAUCAGAGGGGGAUAACAUUCGGAAACGGAUGCUAAAACCGCAUAGGUCCUUUAACCGCAUGGUUGAAGGAGGAAAAGAGGCGCAAGCUUCUGCUGAUGGAUGGACCCGCGGUGCAUUAGCUAGUUGGUGAGGUAACGGCUCACCAAGGCCGUGAUGCAUAGCCGACCUGAGAGGGUGAUCGGCCACAUUGGGACUGAGACACGGCCCAAACUCCUACGGGAGGCAGCAGUAGGGAAUCUUCCGCAAUGGACGCAAGUCUGACGGAGCAACGCCGCGUGAGUGAAGAAGGUUUUCGGAUCGUAAAACUCUGUUGUUAGAGAAGAACAAGUGCUAGAGUAACUGUUAGCGCCUUGACGGUAUCUAACCAGAAAGCCACGGCUAACUACGUGCCAGCAGCCGCGGUAAUACGUAGGUGGCAAGCGUUGUCCGGAUUUAUUGGGCGUAAAGCGAGCGCAGGCGGUUCCUUAAGUCUGAUGUGAAAGCCCCCGGCUCAACCGGGGAGGGUCAUUGGAAACUGGGGAACUUGAGUGCAGAAGAGGAGAGUGGAAUUCCAUGUGUAGCGGUGAAAUGCGUAGAUAUAUGGAGGAACACCAGUGGCGAAGGCGACUCUCUGGUCUGUAACUGACGCUGAGGCUCGAAAGCGUGGGUAGCAAACAGG